RNAcentral lists this ribosomal RNA (253 nucleotides) under uncultured bacterium. RNAcentral describes it as "partial 16S ribosomal RNA". It matches the Rfam family "Bacterial small subunit ribosomal RNA", at positions 524 to 776 of the family's 1533-position model. The record is from RNAcentral.
UACGAAGGGUGCAAGCGUUACUCGGAAUUACUGGGCGUAAAGCGUGCGUAGGCGGUCUGUUAAGUCCGUUGUGAAAGCCCUGGGCUCAACCUGGGAAUUGCAGUGGAUACUGGCUCGCUAGAGUGCGGUAGAGGAGAGUGGAAUUCCCGGUGUAGCAGUGAAAUGCGUAGAGAUCGGGAGGAACAUCAGUGGCGAAGGCGGCUGUCUGGCCCAAUACUGACACUCAGGUGCGACAGCGUGGGGAGCAAACAGG